UCACCAUAUGAAGAAAAUUUAUAUAGCUUGAGAUUUGCUGACAUGAUCAAAUCAAUGAAUGCUAAUUGUCAUAGUUACACUGAUGGAUC
Molecule: small nucleolar RNA, 89 nt
Filed under: Loa loa (African eye worm)
Lineage: Eukaryota; Metazoa; Nematoda; Chromadorea; Rhabditida; Onchocercidae
Description: small nucleolar RNA SNORD46
Source: RNAcentral